GUUGGCGUGGCCGAUUGGUAAAGGCGAUGGACUAGAAAAAUCUUUUGGGAUCUUCCCGCGCAGGUUCGAAUCCUGCCGACAUCG
This 84-nucleotide transfer RNA is filed under the name Dreissena polymorpha. It matches the Rfam family "tRNA". Rfam says of the family: Transfer RNA (tRNA) molecules are approximately 80 nucleotides in length. Their secondary structure includes four short double-helical elements and three loops (D, anti-codon, and T loops). Further hydrogen bonds mediate the characteristic L-shaped molecular structure. tRNAs have two regions of fundamental functional importance: the anti-codon, which is responsible for specific mRNA codon recognition, and the 3' end, to which the tRNAs corresponding amino acid is attached (by aminoacyl-tRNA synthetases). tRNAs cope with the degeneracy of the genetic code in two manners: having more than one tRNA (with a specific anti-codon) for a particular amino acid; and 'wobble' base-pairing, i.e. permitting non-standard base-pairing at the 3rd anti-codon position. Lineage: Eukaryota; Metazoa; Mollusca; Bivalvia; Myida; Dreissenidae. The record is from Rfam by way of RNAcentral.